Molecule: unclassified non-coding RNA, 395 nt
Filed under: Hevea brasiliensis (rubber tree)
Lineage: Eukaryota; Viridiplantae; Streptophyta; Magnoliopsida; Malpighiales; Euphorbiaceae
Source: RNAcentral
GGGAGAUAAAAAAAAAAUACCAUGUGAACUAAUUAAUCAUUAAUGCAUAUAAAAUGAGUAAAUUUGAGUCGGGUACACACACAACAAUAUAAGGAAAGAGAGACAGAGAAAGGGGCUUAAAGAAAGGAGAGGAUGAAAAAUAUAACAUUGCUAAAUAUUUUCAAAAGUGAAUUUUCAGGAGAAGAGAACCACUCAUCAGGACUAGCAGCUGCAUAGAUUAGAAUUUUGCCUAUCUAAUGGUCCAAUGACCACCCUUUUCUACUGAUACUAGUUGUUAUAGUCCAUAAACUAAUGGACAGCUUAAGAACAAACAAAUUGUUGAGUACACAACUACUAACUAUAAGAAGAAAAAUAAAUCUCACGAGUUCCUACCCCAAACUAGUUGUUGUAUGGCC